RNA transcript from Haliaeetus leucocephalus (bald eagle), 3057 nucleotides. It is a transcript of the gene named G elongation factor, mitochondrial 1, with no coding region annotated. Lineage: Eukaryota; Metazoa; Chordata; Aves; Accipitriformes; Accipitridae. The transcript is spliced from 23 exons. The record is from RefSeq and is a predicted model, not a curated record.
CAACGGGGCCGGGGCCGGCAGGAGGGAGCCAUGCUGCGGGUUCUGCGGACCGGACCGGCGCCGAGGCUCCUGCAGCAACAACAGCAGCAACGGCGGCGGCAGUUUCUCCUGAACUCCUGCAGGCAUUGUUCUUCAGGAGUGCUUCCCAAUGAGAGGAUCCGCAACAUUGGGAUCUCGGCCCACAUCGACUCGGGGAAGACGACGUUAACGGAGCGAAUCCUCUUCUAUACGGGCAGGAUAGCACAAAUGCACGAGGUGAGAGGUAAGGAUGGAGUUGGGGCUGUCAUGGAUUCAAUGGAGCUAGAACGACAGCGUGGAAUCACAAUUCAGUCUGCAGCAACAUACACCAUGUGGAAAGACACCAACAUCAACAUCAUAGACACGCCAGGACAUGUGGACUUCACAAUUGAAGUGGAGAGAUCUUUGAGAGUUCUUGAUGGAGCUAUUCUGGUUCUCUGUGCUGUUGGAGGAGUUCAGUGCCAGACAAUAACUGUGAACAGGCAAAUGAAACGUUAUAGUGUGCCAUUUUUAACAUUCAUCAAUAAACUGGACAGACUGGGCUCUAGUCCAACCAGAGCAGUACAACAAUUGAGAUCCAAGUUAAAACACAAUGCAGCUUUUGUUCAGAUUCCAAUUGGGCUGGAGGGAAACUUUAAAGGAAUUAUAGAUCUUAUUGAAGAAAAAGCUAUAUAUUUUGAUGGCGCACUUGGCCAGACUCUUCGGUAUGAUGAAAUUCCAGCUGAAUUUAGAGCUGAGGCUGCAGAAAGACGUCGGGAAUUGAUCGAAUGUGUUGCUAACUCGGAUGAUCAACUUGGGGAGCUGUUUUUGGAAGAAAAGAUUCCUACAGCAGCUGAGUUAAAGCUUGCAAUCAGAAGAGCAACACUGAAGAAGUCCUUUACCCCAGUGCUUGUGGGAAGUGCUUUAAAGAACAAAGGAGUACAGCCGUUGCUGGAUGCCGUCCUGGAAUACCUCCCGAAUCCUUCAGAGGUUGAGAACUAUGCUAUUAUUAACCAGGGGGAGUCUGAGGACAAAACCAAGUUCCUAUUGAACUCUGCUCGAGAUGAUUCCCAGCCUUUUAUAGGCCUUGCUUUUAAACUGGAGGCUGGCCGUUUUGGGCAAUUAACUUAUAUUCGAGUUUAUCAGGGGAUGCUGAAGAAAUCUGAUUAUAUAUAUAACACUAGGACUGGGAAGAGAGUGCGUGUGCAAAGACUUGUCCGUAUGCAUUCAGACAACAUGGAGGAUGUAAAUGAAGUUUACGCGGGAGACAUAUGUGCGCUGUUUGGAAUUGAUUGUGCUAGUGGGGACACGUUCACUGAUAAAACCAGUACUGACAUUUCCAUGGAAUCAAUUCACAUCCCCGAUCCUGUCAUUUCAGUAGCUAUGAAGCCUUCCAACAAGAAUGACUUUGAUAAGUUUUCAAAAGGCCUGAACCGCUUUACAAGGGAAGAUCCCACCUUUAGAAUCCAUUUUGAUGAUGAGAGCAAAGAGACCAUUGUUUCUGGAAUGGGGGAACUGCACUUGGAAAUCUAUGCCCAGCGAAUGGAAAGGGAAUACGGUUGCCCUUGCACCAUGGGAAAGCCAAAAGUUGCCUUCAGGGAGAACAUCUCCGCACCUGUGUCGUUUGAGUAUACACACAAGAAACAGACGGGUGGAGCCGGCCAGUAUGGCAAAGUUAUAGGCGUUCUGGAGCCCCUGGAUCCAGAGGACUACACAAAAUUAGAGUUUGAAGACAGAACUGUUGGCACAAAUAUUCCAAAACAAUUCGUGCCCGCUGUUGAAAAGGGAUUCCGAGAAGCAUGUGAAAAAGGUCUGGCGUCAGGGCACAGGAUAUCUGGAGUCCGGUUCAUCCUAGAGGAUGGUGCACAUCACAUGGUGGACUCCAAUGAAAUCUCUUUCAUCAGAGCAGGAGAAGGAGCCCUAAAGCAAGCUAUGGAAAACGCCACUGUGCGUAUACUCGAACCCAUUAUGGCAGUGGAGGUGAUGGCACCCACCGAAUUCCAAGGAGCAGUGAUAGCUGGAAUUAAUCGCCGUCAUGGAGUGAUCACAGGACAAGACGGCACAGAGGGUUACUUUACCCUAUAUGCUGAGGUGCCACUGAAUGAUAUGUUUGGAUAUGCUACUGAACUGAGGUCUGCCACAGAGAUUCUGCCAGAUGUGUGCUGGUUCUCCACAAACGGAGCACGGCCUCGGGUAGCACAGCGUAGGGACGGCUGAGGCGCAGCUCCAGGAUGGCUGAACUUCCACGCGAAGGGGAAAGUCUGCAGGUUUGCUACUUGUCCAGAAGUUACUGUGCGGUUUCUUAACUGACAUUAAGUUUGUGUUGCUGAUUAGUAUUCAAGUUACACCCAUCUGGCAAGUUGGAAGUGCCUGGUCCUCUGUUCCAGGUCUGGAGAGCAGUGGUAAAAAGAAGCUCACGCUGCAGGGAACAGCGGUGUGUCAGCGGGACUAGGGCCACGCAGGUGCUGGUCACCGGCUUCUGUAGGGCCUUGCAGGGAGACGUUCCGCUGUCUACGCUCGUCCACAUCCUUUUAAAGGCCAGACACCAGGAGAAGAUGGAAAGUUGGGGUCAAACAGCAGCAUCGUGAAAGAAAACCCAACCUCGACCCUGCGUAAUGGCAUGCACUUGAUAUUGACAAGAGGCGGAGACUUUGUCUUCCGAUACAGCACUGUAGCAAGGCAGCUCCCGGCAUUUUCCUGUAAAGCAGGAGCUACAACUGGAUAAUGAGGACCAUACUGCGACACUGAGUUUGGACCAUUGCAAAGUUUCACUCGGGCGCUGGGUUGCCUGAUGUGACUCAAAACAAGACAAUCGCUUCAGGCACUGAGUGAAGCAGGUAGCUACGGUGCUCUCACCACUUGGACCCCGGCAGAAGCAGAGGACUGAUUGGAUUUGAUGCUCGGGUGAUCCUAAGAGCAAACCGUGCCCCAUGCUGGACAGGCAGGUAGAAACAUAAAGUGCAAGCUGUCAACAAUUCCAUGAGAUGCACGCUGCUGUUUCCUAGAAGAUACUCACUUAAGAAAAAAACCUGCAUCAAUGAGAAGGGACAAGAAAAAGAA